AGGCUUAAUACAUGCAAGUCGAGGGNCAGCAUAGGUAGCAAUACUUGAUGGCGACCGGCAAACGGGUGCGGAACACGUACGCAACCUUCCUUUAAGCGGGGAGUAGCCCGGGGAAACCCGGAUUAAUACCCCAUAAUAUAUAAAGAAAGCAUUUUCUUAUUAUUAAAGAUUUAUCACUUAAAGAUGGGCGUGCGCCUGAUUAGGCAGUUGGCGGGGUAACGGCCCACCAAACCUACGAUCAGUAACUGGCGUGAGAGCGCGACCAGUCACACGGGCACUGAGACACGGGCCCG
Molecule: ribosomal RNA, 293 nt
Filed under: uncultured bacterium
Lineage: Bacteria
Description: partial 16S ribosomal RNA
Rfam family: Bacterial small subunit ribosomal RNA
Source: RNAcentral